This 484-nucleotide ribosomal RNA is filed under the name uncultured bacterium. RNAcentral's name for it is "partial 16S ribosomal RNA". It matches the Rfam family "Bacterial small subunit ribosomal RNA", at positions 30 to 507 of the family's 1533-position model. The record is from RNAcentral.
AUUGAACGCUGGCGGCAGGCCUAACACAUGCAAGUCGAGCGGAUGAAGGGAGCUUGCUCCUGGAUUCAGCGGCGGACGGGCGAGUAAUGCCUAGGAAUCUGCCUGGUAGUGGGGGAUAACGUCCGGAAACGGGCGCUAAUACCGCAUACGUCCUGAGGGUGAAAGAGGGGGAUCUUCGGACCUCACGCCAUCAGAUGAGCCUAGGUCGGAUUAGCUAGUUGGUGGGGUAAAGGCCUACCAAGGCGACGAUCCGUAACUGGUCUGAGAGGAUGAUCAGUCACACUGGAACUGAGACACGGUCCAGACUCCUACGGGAGGAAGCAGUGGGGAAUAUUGGACAAUGGGCGAAAGCCUGAUCCAGCCAUGCCGCGUGUGUGAAGAAGGUCUUCGGAUUGUAAAGCACUUUAAGUUGGGAGGAAGGGCAGUAAGUUAAUACCUUGCUGUUUUGACGUUACCAACAGAAUAAGCACCGGCUAACUUCGUG